UUUCCGUAGGUGAACCUGCGGAAGGAUCAUUAUCGAAGCUCGAAGGGGGGGUGUCUUGCGUUCCGGUCGCCAGCGCCGGCUUCUGCCGUUUUGCAGCGGUGCCGGCUCGCCCCCUCGUCCAACCCUUCACACCCCUGUGCACCUUUUUAAAACCUUUCUCUGGAGGGGGAUGGCAAAAGGGCCGGCUGCGGGAACGCGGCGGGCCCCGAUCCUCCCCACCUGGGGGGGUUUACAAACUCUGUCGAAACGCGUGUGUUGCGCGGCCUCCGUGCCGUCCUAACAAACUUUGUAACAACUUUCAACAACGGAUCUCUUGGCUCUC
Molecule: unclassified non-coding RNA, 322 nt
Filed under: plant metagenome
Description: partial contains small subunit ribosomal RNA, internal transcribed spacer 1, and 5.8S ribosomal RNA
Source: RNAcentral